CUUUGUAGUGAGUGGCGGACGGGUGGAGUAACACGUGGGUAACCGUACGCCCUAAACGUUAGGGGGAGGUAACAUUUGGUAAACGAAGAUGCUAAUAACCGCAUAAAGACCUAACACCGCAUGGUGUAGGGUUGAAAGAUGGUUUCGGCUAUCACUUUAGGAUGGACCCGCGGUGCAUUAGUUAGUUGGUGAGGUAAAGGCUCACCAAGACCGUGAUGCAUAGCCGACCUGAGAGGGUAAUCGGCCACACUGGGACUGAGACACGGCCCAGACUCCUACGGGAGGCAGCAGUAGGGAAUCUUCCACAAUGGACGAAAGUCUGAUGGAGCAACGCCGCGUGAGUGAAGAAGGUUUUCGGAUCGUAAAACUCUGUUGUUGGAGAAGAAUGUAUCUGAUAGUAACUGAUCAGGUAGUGACGGUAUCCAACCAGAAAGCCACGGCUAACUACGUG
Molecule: ribosomal RNA, 451 nt
Filed under: uncultured bacterium
Lineage: Bacteria
Description: bacterial SSU rRNA
Rfam family: Bacterial small subunit ribosomal RNA
Source: RNAcentral